Molecule: long non-coding RNA, 3904 nt
Filed under: Xyrichtys novacula (pearly razorfish)
Lineage: Eukaryota; Metazoa; Chordata; Actinopteri; Labriformes; Labridae
Source: RNAcentral
CCCACUUUAUGAUGCCACCUGAGCACCGCUCACAGCGUUUCCUUUAUCGUGAUCCUGCAUUUAUAAAAGCUCUGCAUGUUUUUGAGUUCUUUUCAUGCAUCCUUACAGUGUUUUUCUUUGUCAUUUCAGCUAAAGGGGAUGCUGAGUCACUUUGGGAUCCUGACAUCAUCAUCAUGAGACGGGGAGGCUGGUGAGCGGUGACCUAAGGCAGCGGUGGGAGGCGGUGCCUUUGUAUGUGGUUGGCGGUGCCUUUGGCUGCUGGUUCUUGGCAAAAAAAAAAAAGUCACCCCUGUGGAGUUGUUUCAGCAACUUAUUUGCCAAAUAUCGGGAGAAAAAGAAGUCUGAGGACAGAUUUUUAUUGUCACAAUGCCCCAAAUGAGCAUAAAGCACCUGCAGAGGGUUGGUGGCAGGGUUGAGGUUUUGUUGGCUUUCCAAACUGUUUUCCAGCUUGUGGGCUGAUUCAGAUGCAAAAUCUUGACAUACACUGAAGUUUUGCUGACGGUGUUUAAAUCCCAGCCAGCUAGGCACACAGCAAAAACAUACAUCUACUACUUCCUCUAAAGUCUUAGUGGAGUUAUUAAUAGAAGCUAAGUUAAUUUCUUCACCAUGAGGCAAGUUGGAAAACUACCAGAAGGUGCUGAUGUGGAACUUUUCCUCCUCAGACCAUAAAACUUUGUUUUUAAAGAUGAUUUCAUAACAAUUGAAGCUUUUAUAAUUUUUUUUUCUUAUGAUUAUUAGGCAUGUGUAGAUGAGUUGAAAAAGGAACAUAAAAGACAGGAUGACACAGCAAUCUUUAUUUCUUUAUACUGUGUAUUUUUAACUCACAUUUAUUCUCCUGGAUCGCCAUUUCUCUCAAAGUUUGACUGUUCUGUUUUAAUAUUUGGAGAAAUCAUCAGUAAAGAUUUUUUUAACUUGCUGUGACGGUUGUGUAAUUUGUGUGAUUAUGACAGAGGUUGACUUUGAAUAUGGGCAGUGUUUAUAUGAAGCAAGGUUAUAAAUAAAUAGUUAUAUGUGUUUCAUAAAAGUGCAUUUACUAGCUGUUUAAGGUAGUUUUGUGGUAGUAAAGAGACGCUUCACUUAUCAUCAGAAAGCAGCAAAAUCACAUCGUCUUUAUAAGAGAUAUUGCAGCCUGUGUGGUGUUUACUGAAACAGCUUCGUCUCACAUGGUCUGAGUUAAGAGCUCCAGUGAUUCAUGUACUCCCUGGCAAAAACUGGGUUUUCCUCAAAGCCUGGAGACAGCUUGCUCUGGUGAGACAGCGGGACAUAAAAGCUGUGAAGGUUCUCUUGUAUAUCUGCACCCAUAGCCAGGGGUAUAGUCUCCUCAUUGUCCAUUGUGGGUCAAGUCGACACAAAAGGGUGAUCACACUGCCAUCCCUGCAGCUGUACAUGUCUCUUUGUACAAGUUGCACUGGUAUGAGUUUGAUGCAGAGAUCCACAAACUCUAAAGGCUGCUCAUUUUGAGGUAGCCUUUAGCCUCUAGAUAUUCAGGAAAAACAAACAACUAAGAGUAAAGAUGUGAAAUGUUGUUCAAAUGCAUACAUCUUAAUUAUACCAGCUGAAUUUUGUUUUUAAAUGUAAAACUCACAAACCUCACAGAAUUCCAGUCGAAAAUACUCUGAAUUUCCCAGACAGUUUAAGUAUUUUCCAAGAUAUCCUUAUGGAUAAGUGACACUGUGAGUGGGUGGUAUAUAAAAUAUUGACAAAGCAACUUUCACUUGACUUUCUCUCUUAAUUUGACACAUUUGAUCAGAUUGUCCCUGGCCUUACUACUCCUGUUAAGAAUCACUUACCUUUUUUAUGAGGUGUAACCCAUCAGAACCUAUUGUUUAACACAGUGGGGUAAUAAGAUACAACAUAUAACACAAUGUAAAUAACAGAAUUGCUUCAUUAAGAUUCCACUCUCACUCAAAGAGUUUUAUCUCCACAGUGUUUUGAAACUCUUUGUAGUUGUCGGUUUAUCAGUCGAGUGAAUUCUUUGACCCUCAGGUUGCUGAAUUUUAACACAGUUAUCAGAGAGAAUAUGCAUCCACUGGGUAAAAAUUACCUUUCCAACAAAAUAUUUUUCUUCCAAAAAUAGUGAUGUUCUGUUUGUCCUGAGAUGAACUGAAUAUUUCACUUUACUAAGAAGAAGUGUUUGAUCUCCUGAGGACCAAACACAUCAGACACAAAGAGAUGCUUUCUGUAAAGCAGUCAUUUAUGUCUCUGCAGGCACAGCUAUUUCUGUCGGCAGAGGGAGUGAACUAGAAUCAAAGUCUCCAUGUUGGCCUCAUCAGUCUCUACGAACCCAUCCACACAAACCUAAAUCUGAUAUCCUUAAUUGUUUGCCUCACACCUAUAUUAAGUUUAAUUGUCAAACACGGAAAACUAUCCCUACAUAAAACUUUGACCUUGUGUGACAUGUUUGAUCAAAAAAAGGAUUUGGUUAUCCUUUUAGGACACAAUAUUGUUAGUUUGAAAGGGUUUGAAAUAUUAGCUUUCUAAAUAAAUAAAUAAAUAAAUAUUGUGUCCAAAAAGGAUAACCAAAUCCUUUUUUUGAUCAAACAUGUCACACAAGGUCCAAGUUUUAUGUAGGGAUAGUUUUUAGUGUUUGAUCAAAAAAAGGAUUUGGUGAUCCCUUUAGGACACAAUAUUGUUAAAGGGUUUGAAAUGUUAGCUUUCUAAAUAAAUAAAUAUUGUGGCAAAAACCUGAACUUCAACCAUCUCUGAAAAGGAAAAUUUGAACAAUAUCCAGUCCUGCAAUCCAGGCAGUGGUAGCAGAGCUGUUGAGAGCAUUUUUGAUUUAUUGACCUUUAGCAACUAUGUUAAAGUUUGGGUAUUGCUUAAUUCAUAAAGUGGUUAUCACAUGUUUUGCAAUUUCCCAACAAGAGUACUGGAAAAAAUCUGUUUUCUUGUGACUGUUUUUUUAUGACAGGUGACUUCAUCAGUUGAUUGCUGAGAUUAGCUGAACUUUGUCCCCUAAAAUAAGGAUGGGCAGAGGAGCAGACUUAAAGUUUAGUGUUCUCGGUGUUCUUUUUUUUUUUUUUAUCACAUUCCUUUUGAUAUAGUUAUGGUGCAAUUGGAAAUGCCAAGCUAGGAAUAAGAGCUCAAAAUUAGCAAUGGCUUCACACUCACCUGAUGUGACGUACAUGAGUUUCACUUUCUGAAUCUGAUCUAUUUUACAUUUUUACUUAUAUUAUUAACUCCAAUAAGGAUGAGGUGAGUUCAUCAUUUUUAUACCAGCCCGGAUUAAACAAGCGUCUCUCUAGCUGUAGUGUUGUGAAAGUGUAAUUGAGGCUGUUUCGCUUCUGACCACACCCUGCAGACUUUCAACUCUCAUAUAGAAAGUGCUAAUACCUCGUUUUUCAUCUGAUGUUGGAUGAGCAGUUGGACAUUUUAAAAAUAUUAUUUACAUGCUGGUGAUCUUAGAUAAGCUUAAAGACUGAAAACAAUUGGUAAUUUCAGGACAGCUUAUUGCAUCUAAAUGUCAAAGAAUAAAAUUAAAACCAGCACACUACCAUCUUUAAAGCUCAAACAAUAACCACAGAGAAAACUUUAAGUCUCAAAAUAAAUUCAUUUUCAUCAUCAAAGUACUCCAAAUACAGUUGUUUCUGCUGUGUGAAGAAUAACUACCAGUCACUUUUUUUUAAAGACUCCUUUUUUUCUGGCCUUGGUUUUGCAAUAUUCUGAGGUAGACAUCAGGUAUGUGGCAAAAGUAUAAUUGUAGCUGUCCUAAGUUUUUACCGUGGGUUUAAGGAAGAGCCUCACUAUAUGUCAGGAAAUAUCCGUCUUCUCUUUCGCAGUUAAGAAUCGUCCUGCAGGCUCACACAUCAAUGCAUUGUGCCAAAAGGCCAAUGAUAUGUAAGGAAUCAGUCGAAUGUGGUUGGGAGUUAUUGUGUCCCGACCACUGAAAGAAUUAUCCCAUAGC